CAGCCGCCGCGGUAAUACAGAGGGUGCGAGCGUUAAUCGGAUUUACUGGGCGUAAAGCGUGCGUAGGCGGCUUCUUAAGUCGGAUGUGAAAUCCCUGAGCUUAACUUAGGAAUUGCAUUCGAUACUGGGAAGCUAGAGUAUGGGAGAGGAUGGGAGAAUUCCAGGUGUAGCGGUGAAAUGCGUAGAGAUCUGGAGGAAUACCGAUGGCGAAGGCAGCCAUCUGGCCUAAUACUGACGCUGAGGUACGAAAGCAUGGGGAGCAAACAGGAUUAGAUACCCCUGUAGUCCCUGUCUCUUAUAC
Molecule: ribosomal RNA, 301 nt
Filed under: uncultured bacterium
Lineage: Bacteria
Description: partial 16S ribosomal RNA
Rfam family: Bacterial small subunit ribosomal RNA
Source: RNAcentral